AAAGUCUAAUUAAAAGUAAUUGCCUAGAUAAGACAAUGUAUUAGACAUAUGCUGAGUCUUGAUGAUUUUCAGUGUAUAGAAAGACUCUAAUCUUUCUUUGGGGUUUUUAUAUUAAGCAAUGUAUGAGUAGAUUGAUUUUAUAUCAUCAAUUUAAAUACGUGU
Molecule: long non-coding RNA, 162 nt
Organism: Bufo bufo (common toad)
Lineage: Eukaryota; Metazoa; Chordata; Amphibia; Anura; Bufonidae
Exons: 3
Source: RefSeq, a predicted model, not a curated record